This 406-nucleotide ribosomal RNA is filed under the name uncultured bacterium. Its description in RNAcentral is "partial 16S ribosomal RNA". It matches the Rfam family "Bacterial small subunit ribosomal RNA", at positions 29 to 526 of the family's 1533-position model. The record is from RNAcentral.
AUUGAACGCUGGCGGCAGGCUUAACACAUGCACGCCGAACGAGUGGCGGACGGGUGAGUAAUGUCUGGGAAACUGCCUGAUGGCGGGGGAUAACUACUGGAAACGGUAGCUAAUACCGCAUACCAUCGGAUUUGCCCAGAGUGGAUUAGCUAGUAGGUGGGGUAACGGCUCACCUAGGCGACGCUCCCUAGCUGGUCUGAGAGGAUGACCAGCCACCCUGGAACGGAGACACGGUCCAGACUCCGACGGGAGACAGCAGUGGGUAAAAUUGAACAAUGGGCGCAAGCCUGAGGCAGCCAUGCCGCGUGUAUGAAGAAGGCCUGCGGGGUGUAAAGUACUUUCAGCGGGGAGGCAUUACCCGCAGAAGAAGCACCGGCUAACGCCGUGCCAGCAGCCGCGGUAAUAC